CUCACCAUGGUGUAGUUGGUUAUCACGUUCGACUGUAACUUGCAAAGGAUGCCAUCGAAAGGUCACCGAUUCGAUUUCGGUUGGUGAGA
This is a transfer RNA of Thielaviopsis punctulata, 89 nucleotides long. It matches the Rfam family "tRNA". From Rfam's summary of the family: Transfer RNA (tRNA) molecules are approximately 80 nucleotides in length. Their secondary structure includes four short double-helical elements and three loops (D, anti-codon, and T loops). Lineage: Eukaryota; Fungi; Ascomycota; Sordariomycetes; Microascales; Ceratocystidaceae. The record is from Rfam.